UUUAUCCCAAAAAUUUCACCGUGUAGGUUCCGACAUAUGGUAGAAUGGGCCACCCCUUCCUUUUUCGUUGGUGUCGUAGGAGGCGACUAGAGGAGCUUAUGUUCGUGAGAUGGUCAGCAGCGUCCCUUUUAUAACAUCAGCCUGAUUAUAUCAAGGCCUGACUGCGGUUGCCAACCCGUCGGCCAAGCGUGGCGACUACUGGCAUAACUCUUCUCCGUUAUGGGGAAGGUUUAUGUUCAGCAGUACACACCUCACUCUCUGUUACUUUUGUACAAAGUACUACUAACUUAAAAUCUAGUGUGCGUUUUAUUACGAUAUACCAUCGAAAUGUAGUUACUUCCAAGAUCCAUGCAUACGAAGGUGCGAGCAAAGCUAGUAACUUAUAGAAAAACACCCACUACUGUAGUUCCUGAUCAGGUAGUCAGCAGAGCUUGUUGAAUUACAACGUGACAAGGGUCAAAUUUACUGUCAAUUCUAGAAACAAAUAAUACCUACACUUAGAAGACAAAUGUGCUAGAUAUUAUUUUUUUUUUUUUUUACAACACAGGGGGCAAACGAGCAUGCGGCUCACCUGAUGGUAAGUGACUACCGCCGCCCAUGAUCACCCACAACACCUACGGCAUUGCAGGUGUGCUGCCGGCCUUUUAAAAAGGAAUAUGCUCUUUUCUUGAAGGUUAUGUUGUCGUAUCGGUUCGGAAAUACUGCUGCUGGAAGUUGAUUCCAAAGAGUGGUUGUGCGUGGGAGAAAGUGCCUUGAAAAACGCACGGUGGAGGACCGCCACUUGUCCAGAUGGUUGGGAUGAAAUUUUAGUUUAUGGCGGGUUGUACGAUGGUGAAAAUCUGCAGCAGGUAUCAAUCCGAACAAUUCUUCAGAGCACUCCCCAUGAUAAAUUCGGUAGAAAAUGCACAGAGAUGCAACAUCUCUACGCAGUUCCAGUGGGUCGAGCCGGACAGUAAGACGCCGAUCGUCAACAAUUCGAGCUAGUUAUUAAUCGAUGAUGCACAGGUACCCUACGAUUACACACCAAUCGGUCGGAACGCCAGAAAACUAUUCGGACAUGCACCUCAUCCCUCCGAUGUCAAUUUAAAUUAUGAGAGACUCUUUCCAUCCAGACGCAAAUGGAAUACUUAAUUAAACACUUAUUAAAUAAA
Molecule: long non-coding RNA, 1151 nt
Organism: Galleria mellonella (greater wax moth)
Lineage: Eukaryota; Metazoa; Arthropoda; Insecta; Lepidoptera; Pyralidae
Exons: 2
Source: RefSeq, a predicted model, not a curated record